Molecule: ribosomal RNA, 212 nt
Filed under: uncultured bacterium
Lineage: Bacteria
Description: partial 16S ribosomal RNA
Rfam family: Bacterial small subunit ribosomal RNA
Source: RNAcentral
CAGUUCGGACUGUAGUCUGNAACCCGACUACACGAAGCUGGAAUCGCUAGUAAUCGCGAAUCAGAAUGUCGCGGUGAAUACGUUCCCGGGUCUUGUACACACCGCCCGUCACACCAUGGGAGUCGGGAAUGCCCGAAGUCAGUGACCCAACCAUAUGGAGGGAGCUGCCGAAGGCAGGUCUGAUAACUGGGGUGAAGUCGUAACAAGGUAGC